AAUUUUAGUCCAACCUAAAGUAAAUCAAAAUCUCAACAAAUUACCCGUCAUACUUUAGAGCAAUUCAAAUGAGGUACAGCCCAUUUGAUUCAGGGUACAACCACUGCUAACGGGUAACAUACUAUAAAUCACUUUUAAGUAGGCUUAAGAGCAGCCACCUUUUAAAAAGCGUCAAAGCUUAACUUUGUUUUACACUAAUCCAAUUACCUCCAUAGACCCCUUUAACACCACCGAGAACUUCUAUAACCUUAUAGAACCUUUUAUGCUAAAACUAGUAACAAGAGAUAAACCUCUCUUAAUGUGAGCAUAAGCCAGCAAGAACCUGUCGCUGGCAAUUAACAGGCCUACAUAAAGUAGCAACUUCAACCCAGAGAACCCUACUACACCAACUGUUAACCUUACACCAGAACAUUCCAAGAAAGAUUUAAAGAAAAAGAAGGAACUCGGCAAACAUUAGUCCCGCCUGUUUACCAAAAACAUCGCCUCUUGUCCCCAUAAGAGGUCCAGCCUGCCCAGUGACUUUAUUCAACGGCCGCGGUAUCCUAACCGUGCGAAGGUAGCGUAAUCACUUGUCUUCUAAAUAAAGACUAGUAUGAAAGGCAUUACGAAGACUAAGCUGUCUCCUAUUUCUAAUCAGUGAACCUAAUCUCCCCGUGAAGAAGCGGGGAUCUACACAUAAGACGAGAAGACCCUAUGGAGCUUAAAACACUAUAACACCUGCCACUUACCCCCACCCUUAUACCCAGGUAUAUCACCCACUGGCACCCUAAUUAUAUGUUUUUGGUUGGGGUGACCGCGGAGAAAAAAUUAUCCUCCAUGAUGAAAAGGGGUAACCCCUUAAACAAUAAGUCACAUCUUUAUGUAUCAACAAAUUGACAUCUCUUGACCCAAUAUAUUUGAUUAACGAACCAAGUUACCCUAGGGAUAACAGCGCAAUCCACUUUGAGAGCUCCUAUCGACAAGUGGGCUUACGACCUCGAUGUUGGAUCGGGGUAUCCUAGUGGUGCAGCCGCUACUAAAGGUUCGUUUGUUCAACGAUUAAAACCCCACGUGAUCUGAGUUCAGACCGGAGCAAUCCAGGUCAGUUUCUAUCUAUUAAGAGCUACUUUUAGUACGAAAGGACCAAAAUAGCAUGGCCAAUGACCCCGUUAAGCCAUAGUUGAUUAUUUUAGACUGCAACUUAAAGAAUUAUCAACCUUCCCCCCACCC
This 1209-nucleotide ribosomal RNA is filed under the name Pristimantis wiensi (Wiens' robber frog). RNAcentral describes it as "partial 16S ribosomal RNA". It matches the Rfam family "Bacterial large subunit ribosomal RNA", at positions 926 to 2823 of the family's 2925-position model. Lineage: Eukaryota; Metazoa; Chordata; Amphibia; Anura; Strabomantidae. The record is from RNAcentral.